GAUGAACGCUAGCGGCAGGCUUAACACAUGCAAGUCGAGGGGCAGCACGGGUAGCAAUACCUGGUGGCGACCGGCGCAAGGGUGCGUAACGCGUGAGCAACAUGCCCUAUACAGGGGGAUAAUCCAGGGAAACUUGGUCUAAUAUCCCAUAGUAUUUAGAGGAGGCAUCCUCUAUAAAUUAAAGCUUCGGUGGUAUAGGAUUGGCUCGCGUGACAUUAGCUAGAUGGUGAGGUAACGGCUCACCAUGGCAAUGAUGUCUAGGGGUUCUGAGAGGAAGGCCCCCCACACUGGGACUGAGACACGGCCCAGACUCCUACGGGAGGCAGCAGUGAGGAAUAUUGGACAAUGGAUGGAAAUCUGAUCCAGCCAUGCCGCGUGCAGGAAGACAGCCCUAUGGGUUGUAAACUGCUUUUAUAUGGGAGCAAUAAGGUCUACGUGUAGACUGAUGAGAGUACCAUAUGAAUAAGCAUC
RNAcentral lists this ribosomal RNA (471 nucleotides) under uncultured bacterium. RNAcentral describes it as "bacterial SSU rRNA". It matches the Rfam family "Bacterial small subunit ribosomal RNA", at positions 28 to 494 of the family's 1533-position model. The record is from RNAcentral.